Molecule: non-coding RNA, 337 nt
Organism: Podarcis muralis (Common wall lizard)
Lineage: Eukaryota; Metazoa; Chordata; Lepidosauria; Squamata; Lacertidae
Source: RefSeq, a predicted model, not a curated record
AGGGCCUGGGUUCCGGAUCAGGCCAAAGGUCCACCUUGCCUGACAUCGUUUCCUUGCAGAUGCCAACCAGAUGCCUCUGGGAAGAUUCCUCUGCUCCUUGCCACAUCCUACAUCGUGACAAGGUAAGGCUGCCAGCUGGCGAUGCAGCCUGACCUGAAGUUCUGGGGUCUUUACAGUGCAAUCCAAUCCGUGUCUACUCAGAAGGAAGUCCCACUGGGUACAAUGGGGCUUACUCCCAGCGUUGUUAAAGAUGGCAUCAAGUUCUAGCGUGUUGGCUGGAGAAUGGCAAAAUCUGACUUACCGUAGUGAAAUGAACCGCACAAAGGAUACCGAUCAA